AUUGAACGCUGGCGGCAGGCCUAACACAUGCAAGUCGAACGAUUGGCGGACGGGUGAGUAAUGUCUGGGAAACAGCCUGAUGGAGGGGGAUAACUACUGGAAAGGGUAGCUAAUAACGCCUACCAUCAGAUGUGCCUAGAUGGGCUUAGCAAGUUGGUGGGGUAACGGCUCACCAAGGCGACGAUGCCUAGCUGGGUUGGGAGGAUGACCGGCCACACUGGAACAUAGACACGGUCCAGACUCCUACGGGAGGCAGCAGUGGGGAAUAUUGGACAAUUGGCGCAAGCCUGAUGCAGCCAUGCCGCGUGGAUGAAGGAGGCCUUCGGGUUUUCAAGUACUUUCCGCGGGUAGGCGUUACCCGCAGAAGAAGCACCGGCUAACUCCGUGCCAGCAGCCGCGGUAAUUC
Molecule: ribosomal RNA, 406 nt
Filed under: uncultured bacterium
Lineage: Bacteria
Description: partial 16S ribosomal RNA
Rfam family: Bacterial small subunit ribosomal RNA
Source: RNAcentral